Molecule: small RNA, 28 nt
Filed under: Bombyx mori (domestic silkworm)
Lineage: Eukaryota; Metazoa; Arthropoda; Insecta; Lepidoptera; Bombycidae
Description: ovarian small RNA-18066
Source: RNAcentral
UAAAAUGAACACUGGUCCUGCAUAAUCC